Molecule: long non-coding RNA, 706 nt
Filed under: Equus caballus (horse)
Lineage: Eukaryota; Metazoa; Chordata; Mammalia; Perissodactyla; Equidae
Description: lncRNA (ENSECAG00000032253.3)
Source: RNAcentral
GGCCCACUGAGUCAGUAACUCCUUAGUAUGAAUUAGUCUAGCAGCAGAAAUAGUUAAGGAAGGAACUUAGGGUGGGGAUAGGGGUGGGGUGCAGAAAGGGAGAAAGUUUCCAAAAAAAAUGGUAGGGGAUCUAAAGCCAGUCUGGGUCUGUGGUUUUGCCGAGGUCCACGCCUGCACUGCUCAAAGAGCGCUCCGCAAGCUGCCGCCGCCACUGGCUUCUCCUGUCAGGCGGCGGAGGAAACGCAGAGGCUCUGGGGGAGGGGCAGGGACCACGGGGUGGGGCGGCGAGCAGCGCGGCUGAGAGCGGCCUCGUCUGCAUGGACGGCGGCUGCCGCGCCGGCUGCUCGCCGGGGACACAGGUUCCCGUGGAGGAAUGAAAGAGAUCAAGGGGAAGAGAGCUGCCAGCUCCCUGGGGCCCUGCACCUGCCAGCUGCCGCUACAUACUCUGAGAAACACUGCUGCCAGCUAGAGGGGAGCACCUGUCCCAGAACCUCAGGACCUGGGACGAGAACCUCUGGGUGACUCCUUGGAACAAUGAAUCGGACCACCUGUGGGUUCCAGCACUCCAGAGCCAGCAGUGCCUUCCUGAACAGCUCCACACCAUUGCUCUUCUUGGAUGAAGAAAAUGAGGCCCAGAGAGGUUAAGUGACUGCCCUAAGAUCACACAGGUCGGAAGUGCCUGAGCUCCAGGUCUCUGGACUCCAAG